CCUACGGGAGGCAGCAGUAGGGAAUAUUGGGCAAUGGACGGAAGUCUGACCCAGCCAUGCCGCGUGCAGGAAGAAGGUCCUCUGGAUUGUAAACUGCUUUAGACGGGGAAGAGUAAGGAUCAUGCGUGAUCUGAUGACGGUACCCGUAGAAUAAGCACCGGCUAACUACGUGCCAGCAGCCGCGGUAAUACGUAGGGUGCGAGCGUUGUCCGGAUUUAUUGGGUUUAAAGGGUGCGUAGGCGGGAGAGUAAGUUCGCUUUUAAAGCCGGCCGCUUAACGGUCAGGUAGGGGGCGGAUACUGCUUUUCUUGAGAGGGCUCGGGGCUGGCGGAAUUUGUGGUGUAGCGGUGAAAUGCAUAGAUACCACAAGGAACACCGAUCGCGUAGGCAGCCAGCCAGGGCCUUUCUGACGCUGAGGCACGAAAGUGCGGGGAGCAAACAGGAUUAGAUACCCUGGUAGUCCGCACUGUAAACGAUGCAUACUCGGUGUCGGCUCGUUAGAGCCGGUGCCUGAGGGAAACCGAUAAGUAUGCCACCGUGGGGAGUACGCCGGNAACGGUGAAACUUAAAUGAAUUGAGGCUUGGAGAGNGCGAGGCGACGACGAGGGAGAGG
This 612-nucleotide ribosomal RNA is filed under the name uncultured bacterium. RNAcentral's name for it is "bacterial SSU rRNA". It matches the Rfam family "Bacterial small subunit ribosomal RNA", at positions 338 to 950 of the family's 1533-position model. The record is from RNAcentral.